Molecule: ribosomal RNA, 742 nt
Filed under: uncultured Dysgonomonas sp.
Lineage: Bacteria; Pseudomonadati; Bacteroidota; Bacteroidia; Bacteroidales; Dysgonomonadaceae
Description: bacterial SSU rRNA
Rfam family: Bacterial small subunit ribosomal RNA
Source: RNAcentral
UCGGCUUAGAGUUUGAUCCUGGCUCAGGAUGAACGCUAGCGACAGGCCUAACACAUGCAAGUCGAGGGGCAGAUGUAGCAAUACAUUGCGACCGGCGCACGGGUGAGUAACACGUAUGCAAUCUACCUUCUACAGAGAGAUAGCCCGUUGAAAGACGGAUUAAUACCUCAUAAUACAGGCUCGCAUGAGUAUUUGUUAAAGGAGCAAUCCGGUAGGAGAUGAGCAUGCGCUCCAUUAGCUUGUUGGUGAGGUAACGGCUCACCAAGGCAACGAUGGAUAGGGGAACUGAGAGGUUUAUCCCCCACACUGGUACUGAGACACGGACCAGACUCCUACGGGAGGCAGCAGUGAGGAAUAUUGGUCAAUGGACGCAAGUCUGAACCAGCCAAGUCGCGUGAAGGAUGACUGCCCUCGGGUUGUAAACUUCUUUUGUACUAGAGUAAAGUGUACUACGUGUAGUAUUUUGCAAGUAUAGUACGAAUAAGCAUCGGCUAACUCCGUGCCAGCAGCCGCGGUAAUACGGAGGAUGCGAGCGUUAUCCGGAUUUAUUGGGUUUAAAGGGUGCGUAGGCGGGAGCUUAAGUCAGCGGUGAAAGUUUGAGGCUCAACCUUAAAAUUGCCGUUGAAACUGGGUUUCUUGAGUGUAAAUGAAGUAGGCGGAAUUCGUAGUGUAGCGGUGAAAUGCAUAGAUAUUACGAGGAACUCCAAUUGCGCAGGCAGCUUACUAAGCUACAACUGACGCC